Molecule: ribosomal RNA, 45 nt
Filed under: Phtheirospermum japonicum
Lineage: Eukaryota; Viridiplantae; Streptophyta; Magnoliopsida; Lamiales; Orobanchaceae
Description: partial 26S ribosomal RNA
Source: RNAcentral
CCCAACGGCGCGAUCUGAUUGCGCCUUCGACCGCGACCCCAGGUC